RNAcentral lists this long non-coding RNA (1048 nucleotides) under Arabidopsis thaliana (thale cress). Its description in RNAcentral is "long non-coding RNA (ATHA_LNC000733)". The record is from RNAcentral. Lineage: Eukaryota; Viridiplantae; Streptophyta; Magnoliopsida; Brassicales; Brassicaceae.
AAAAUUCUGACUCAAGUCUGUUGGGAAAUUACAUGCAUUGGCUCAAUCUGAAAAUUUAGUGGGACCUGCAAGCAAUAAAAUUGCACAAAACAAUUUGAAGCAUAUCAGCAAUUCUUUUUCAUAAAUAGCAAUUUAGAACCCAAAUAAGCCUAGAAUCUUCCUAGUCCCAUAUUCUGAUGGAGACUUGUCCCAAGUCCAAACCACAUAUUACUCUCACCAACGAAAGAGGGCACAAUGUAAAACAAAGACAUAGAGACAAUCACCAAGAAGAUAACACAAGAGCCCACACAUCGUACGCCACGUGGCAGAUUCACCUCUUUAUAAUCCUCUCUCCCUCACGGUUUCUACGACAUUUUCACAAAGCCACACCAACUCACUCACAAAAUCUGUAGAAUCAUCUUUCAACAAUGGCUUCCACUGCUCUCUCCAGCGCAAUCGUAAGCACCUCUUUCCUCCGCCGUCAACAGACACCAAUCAGCCUCAGAUCCCUCCCGUUUGCCAACACACAAUCUCUCUUCGGCCUCAAAUCUUCCACCGCUCGCGGCGGCCGCGUCACGGCCAUGGCUACCUACAAGGUCAAGUUCAUCACACCUGAGGGAGAACAAGAGGUCGAAUGCGAAGAAGAUGUCUACGUCCUCGACGCUGCUGAGGAAGCCGGACUCGACUUGCCCUACUCAUGCCGUGCCGGUUCUUGCUCAAGUUGCGCCGGGAAAGUCGUCUCUGGUUCUAUUGACCAGUCGGACCAGAGCUUCUUAGACGAUGAACAGAUGAGUGAGGGCUAUGUCUUGACCUGUGUGGCUUAUCCGACUUCUGAUGUCGUCAUCGAAACCCACAAAGAAGAAGCCAUUAUGUAAAAUUUUAAAGCUUUUUGAUGAAUUUCAUCAAAAGAGAAAUUACUUGAUGUUUAAGUCAUCUCUCUUGUUACUUCGCUAAUGUUGCCCUAAUUUGGCUCAUCCUUUUAUAAGAUCAAUCAAUAAUAACAAAUUUCAAUGUUUUGUUCUUCAUUUUGGUUGUUUUUUUGAAAUCUAAUGUCAAUUAUUUUCCACAC